Non-coding RNA from Acanthosepion pharaonis, 112 nucleotides. Lineage: Eukaryota; Metazoa; Mollusca; Cephalopoda; Sepiida; Sepiidae. The record is from the annotation of a GenBank genome assembly.
UACAGCCACACCACAUUGAAACACUGGUCCCAUACAAUCACCAAAGUUAAGCAAUGUCAAGCCUAGUCAGUACCUAGAUGGGUGACUGUUUGGGAAUACUAAAUGCUGUAGU